RNAcentral lists this ribosomal RNA (253 nucleotides) under uncultured bacterium. RNAcentral's name for it is "partial 16S ribosomal RNA". It matches the Rfam family "Bacterial small subunit ribosomal RNA", at positions 524 to 776 of the family's 1533-position model. The record is from RNAcentral.
CACGUAGGGCGCAAGCGUUGUCCGGAAUUAUUGGGCGUAAAGAGCUCGUAGGCAGUCCGUCACGUCCGCUGUGAAAACCCAGGGCUCAACCCUGGGCUUGCAGUGGAUACGGGCAGACUAGAGGUAGGUAGGGGAGAAUGGAAUUCCCGGUGUAGCGGUGAAAUGCGCAGAUAUCGGGAGGAACACCAAUGGCGAAGGCAGCUCGCUGGGACGUGACUGACGCUGAGACGCGAAAGCGUGGGGAGCAAACAGG